This is a long non-coding RNA of Penaeus monodon (black tiger shrimp), 304 nucleotides long. RefSeq lists it as uncharacterized. The record is from RefSeq and is a predicted model, not a curated record. The transcript has 3 exons. Lineage: Eukaryota; Metazoa; Arthropoda; Malacostraca; Decapoda; Penaeidae.
CAAGGGCCGAGGGAGGCCGACGGCGGGUCUCUCCUCCUGCAGGGUCGCGGGUUCGUCUCCGGAGGGAUCCCCCUCAAGGCGCUGUGGGAGGGCUAGGGAGCAGCGGAGGAGGCGAACAGACAUGAAGAUCCGUAUUGACAGGAAUACCUAUUGAAAUAAAGUGUAAGAAAUUGCUACAAGUUUAAAAGCAGAUGAAUACAGGGCUACCACUCAACACAAUGAGAUUUCAGGGAGGCCAUAAAAUCAGAGUUACAGAUACUUCGUGGAGACAACUGUCGGGUAGGAUUAUUUGCCAAAAUAUUUG